AGAAUCAACGCUGGCGGCGUGCCUCAGACAUGCAAGUCGAACGAGAAAGUCCCCUUCGGGGGAUAAGUAAAGUGGCGCACGGGUGAGUAACACGUAGGUAAUCUACCUUCGGGUGGGGAAUAACCCAGGGAAACUUGGGCUAACACCGCAUAAUGCAGCGGCACCACAUGGUGACAGUUGUUAAAGCGGGGGAUUUUAGGACCUCGCGCCUGAAGAGGAGCCUGCGGCGGAUUAGCUAGUUGGUGAGGUAACGGCUCACCAAGGUAACGAUCCGUA
This 276-nucleotide ribosomal RNA is filed under the name uncultured bacterium. RNAcentral's name for it is "partial small subunit ribosomal RNA". It matches the Rfam family "Bacterial small subunit ribosomal RNA", at positions 26 to 285 of the family's 1533-position model. The record is from RNAcentral.